GAAGCCAAGCUUGCUUGGUGGAUCAGUGGCGAACGGGUGAGUAACACGUGAGCAACCUGCCCUGGACUCUGGGAUAAGCGCUGGAAACGGCGUCUAAUACUGGAUAUGAGACGUGAUCGCAUGGUCGUGUUUGGAAAGAUUUUUCGGUCUGGGAUGGGCUCGCGGCCUAUCAGCUUGUUGGUGAGGUAAUGGCUCACCAAGGCGUCGACGGGUAGCCGGCCUGAGAGGGUGACCGGCCACACUGGGACUGAGACACGGCCCAGACUCCUACGGGAGGCAGCAGUGGGGAAUAUUGCACAAUGGGCGGAAGCCUGAUGCAGCAACGCCGCGUGAGGGAUGACGGCCUUCGGGUUGUAAACCUCUUUUAGCAGGGAAGAAGCGAAAGUGACGGUACCUGCAGAAGAAGCGCCGGCUAACUACGUGCCAG
RNAcentral lists this ribosomal RNA (427 nucleotides) under Microbacterium sp. RNAcentral's name for it is "bacterial SSU rRNA". It matches the Rfam family "Bacterial small subunit ribosomal RNA", at positions 70 to 511 of the family's 1533-position model. The record is from RNAcentral. Lineage: Bacteria; Bacillati; Actinomycetota; Actinomycetes; Micrococcales; Microbacteriaceae.